This 1198-nucleotide long non-coding RNA is filed under the name Mytilus galloprovincialis (Mediterranean mussel). Lineage: Eukaryota; Metazoa; Mollusca; Bivalvia; Mytilida; Mytilidae. The record is from RNAcentral.
UGACAAUCAAAUCCCAUAAAAAAUUUAAAAAAUCACGCUAAAUCUCGAAAGAAGUAGACAUACUUACUGGCAAUUUUCUAAAUACUUUCCUAAAUAUGUAGGAUUUCUUCACGUAAGAUUAAAAGAGUGAUACCAGAGGGCCAUUCAAACUCAUAGAUCGAAAAUGAACUGACAAUGCCUGGGCUCAAAAAUACAAAUACAAACAAAAUAAUAGUACACCCGAUAAGAAUGCAAGCCUAAAAUGACAGCAACAUAAGGUCAACAGGGGUACCAUGUAUAAUAUAUUUCUUGCUUGCGAUCUCAGAUGCGUUUCUUUCACAAGGUACAAACGUUGAAUGAUAUGCAAAACAAAAGUCAAACUCUGAAGCCCCAUAGCAGCAACAACAAUUCUUAUAUUACGAAUGAUGAAAGGGUUCACAUGUUGACAAGUAAUCCUACAAGGUAAAACGCUUUCUGAAAAAAACGUUGCAUAUUAUUUGUCUUUUCAUUCUUCUUGUAAAACAAUAACUUUUUUCUACCUCUCGCAAAAACUGUUAAAUACAAAUUACAGGAACAUAUUAAAAUCAAAACAAAUCAAAUAAACAGUAUGGUUAAUUCUAAAUCAUAUAAAAACAAUACCACCUAUAGCGAUUGAUUUUGUCAAACAAUAUAACUGUAUGAUACUAAUAAUUAGUUAUAAUUGUGCUACAUGUACAAUAUAAAAGUAAAAUAUCCAGACGAUUACAUAACUCCCGCAAAAUAAAACCCUGUCAAAUCGUAAAGUUUGGUCAACGAUACAUGAUGAAAAACAAUUCUAGCAUAUAUGAAAUUUUUCUUUCAUUCAACCGCAAAGGAGUCGUGUCAGUGUAUAACAAUAUAAAAAUAUUUUUAAGAAUUGUCAAAACCUAGGAAAAUAUCAUAAUAAUACAUAAUAGUGAUAUGCACAUAACAUUAUAUCGUACCAAUUAUGCGAACCUCAUGUCAAAUGUCUCAGAGGAAUUGCAUCCGCAAGGUGUGAUUGUGUAGAAAGAGAUUUGUAAAUUGUUAAAGUCUUGUUACACUUGGUGUAAAUGUCAAAUAAAACAUGACAGUAUAUUCAGUUCAAUAGAAUAACACAUCAUAAACGCAAUUUCGAAUAAAUGUUCUUUGAGUUAAAAGGUAAUUCGGACGGACGGAAUCGUUGAUGCAUUAAUGAAUACCAUUACUAUGUAUCAUGUGG